AACAGCGGCAAACAGGCUUCCCAGCUGACCUCCUCUCCUCUGUUCUCCCUACCUAACAGACUGGCAGGUUGCAGAAGAUGCACCCAGAGAGUGUUUUGACUGUUCCAGUUUUAAUAAAAGGCUGGAGGAAACACAUACAAUGGAAACCUAUGUGCUUUUUGGUGAGAUAAAGCAUGAUUUUGGGGGAGAGAAGAGGACAGAAUCUGCUGAAACAUAAGGGGAAAGAAGAAUGACCAGCCCAGAGAAUGCAGAGAGAGAUGGAGGCCAGAAUUCAUGAGGGUUCGUUGGAAAUGAAGACCAGAAAAGUGUGGACCUGAACAACCCCCAGCUGAUGGUGGACAGGCUGCCUAGCAGAGAAGGAGCAGCUCAACACCAAGUUCCCAGAAAAGACUUCCAGGGAGCAGGCCCCGAGUUGUGGGUGUGCACUGUGAGAUUCAGUGGGGACAUUCUGGAACAUAAGUGAAAUAGCAGUAGCUAUGGUGAUAACACUGACAACCAGUUCUCUCUGGCUCAAGUCUGGAGCAGCAUACAGGAAGGAAGCAGCCUCCACAAAUCAUGUGGACUCUCGUGAAGCCCCCAUGAGAGCCAGCAUUCUGUGUCAGGGCUUCUUGGUGCCACUCACCAACUGACUGGUGGACUCUCGAGGGCACAAAUCCCAGCUGCCAGAUCUCAGCUCAGCUAUCACCUCCGUGGAGAAAUGUUCCUUGACCACAACAGCUGAAACAACAAUCAUGACCCCCCCAACCCCUUUACACUCUGCCUCUGUGAGGGACUGAACUGUGUCCUGCAAAAUCUGUAUGUUAAAGUCCUAACUCCCAGCACCCCAGAACGUGACUGUAAUUGGAGAUAAAGUAUUUAAAGGUAAUUACAUUAAAAUCAGGUCAUUAGA
Long non-coding RNA from Manis javanica (Malayan pangolin), 889 nucleotides. RefSeq lists it as uncharacterized. The record is from RefSeq and is a predicted model, not a curated record. NCBI's taxonomy places the organism in Eukaryota, Metazoa, Chordata, Mammalia, Pholidota, Manidae.